GUGGGGAAUCUUAGACAAUGGGCGCAAGCCUGAUCUAGCCAUGCCGCGUGAGUGAUGAAGGCCCUAGGGUUGUAAAGCUCUUUCAGCUGGGAAGAUAAUGACGGUACCAGCAGAAGAAGCCCCGGCUAACUCCGUGCCAGCAGCCGCGGUAAUACGGAGGGGGCUAGCGUUGUUCGGAAUUACUGGGCGUAAAGCGCGCGUAGGCGGACUGAAAAGUUGGGGGUGAAAUCCCGGGGCUCAACCUCGGAACUGCCUUCAAAACUAUCAGUCUGGAGUUCGAGAGAGGUGAGUGGAAGUCCGAGUGUAGAGGUGAAAUUCGUAGAUAUUCGGAGGAACACCAGUGGCGAAGGCGGCUCACUGGCUCGAUACUGACGCUGAGGUGCGAAAGCGUGGGGAGCAAACAGGAUUAGAUACCCUUGUAGUCC
Molecule: ribosomal RNA, 425 nt
Filed under: uncultured bacterium
Lineage: Bacteria
Description: partial 16S ribosomal RNA
Rfam family: Bacterial small subunit ribosomal RNA
Source: RNAcentral